RNAcentral lists this ribosomal RNA (466 nucleotides) under uncultured bacterium. RNAcentral's name for it is "partial 16S ribosomal RNA". It matches the Rfam family "Bacterial small subunit ribosomal RNA", at positions 28 to 507 of the family's 1533-position model. The record is from RNAcentral.
GACGAACGCUGGCGGCGCGCCUAACACAUGCAAGUCGAACGAGCGAGAGAGAGCUUGCUUUCUCGAGCGAGUGGCGAACGGGUGAGUAACGCGUGAGGAACCUGCCUCAAAGAGGGGGAUAACAGUUGGAAACGACUGCUAAUACCGCAUAAGCCCACGACCCGGCAUCGGGUAGAGGGAAAAGGAGCAAUCCGCUUUGAGAUGGCCUCGCGUCCGAUUAGCUAGUUGGUGAGGUAACGGCCCACCAAGGCGACGAUCGGUAGCCGGACUGAGAGGUUGAACGGCCACAUUGGGACUGAGACACGGCCCAGACUCCUGCGGGAGGCAGCAGUGGGGAAUAUUGCACAAUGGGGGAAACGCUGAUGCAGCGACGCCGCGUGGAGGAAGAAGGUCUUCGGAUUGUAAACUCGUGUUGUUGAGGAAGAUAAUGACGGUACUCAACAAGGAAGUGACGGCUAACUACGUG